Long non-coding RNA from Cyprinus carpio carpio, 1871 nucleotides. NCBI's taxonomy places the organism in Eukaryota, Metazoa, Chordata, Actinopteri, Cypriniformes, Cyprinidae. The record is from Ensembl.
UCCUGAAGACCUUGAUUAGCUUGUUCAGGUGUGUUUGAUUAGGGUUAGAGCUAACCUCUGCAGGACAGCGGCACUCCAGGACCGACGUUGCCUAUCCCUGCGCUAGAAUGAGAUGGUCUAGUGAGUGCAGGGGCGCCAUAAUAGGUGGGAAGUCUGGACGAUUCCAAGGGCCCAGUGAGGGAGAGGGUGCCCAGAACAUGAUUUUAACAGAGAGGGACACCUCUAUGCCUACUAAGGAUCCUUCACAUUGAGACAUGCUUUGAUGAAACUUGAUGACAUGACAGCUUAGAUAUGCAGCCUUAUAAGGAAGUGUCCUUUCAUUUUGGAAGCACCCACUGUCUUGUCACCCUUAUGGAACCACUCCUUGUGCUUGUAAACGAUCCUCAAGUGAUUUUAUCUUCACCACUGUCUCCAGAGAUCUCAUAUACUCUCCCUUUAAGUCUCCAGUGAUCUCUUAUACUUACCUCUGAGUCUCCAGCGAUCUCCUUUGAGUCUCCAGCGAUCUUCUAUACUCACUGCGGUCUCCAGAGAUCUCCUAUACUCACCGCUGUCUCCAGAGAUCUCCUAUACUCACUGGUGAAUCUCCAGAGAUCUCCUAUACUCACCGCUGAGUCUCCAGAGAUCUCCUAUACUCACACCGCUGUCUCCAGAGAUCUCCUAUACUCACCGCUGAGUCUCCAGAGAUCUCCUAUACUCACACCGCUGUCUCCAGAGAUCUCCUAUACUCACACCGCUGUCUCCAGAGAUCUCCUAUACUCACACCGCUGUCUCCAGAGAUCUCCUAUACUCACCGCUGAGUCUCCAGAGAUCUCUAUACUCACACCGCUGUCUCCAGAGAUCUUCUAUACUCACCGCUGUGUCUCCAGCGAUCUCCUAUACUCACCGCUGUGUCUCCAGCGAUAUCCUAUACUCACCGCUGAGUUUCCAGCGAUCUCCUAUACUCACCCUGUCUCCAGCGAUCUCCUAUACUCACCGCUGUCUCCAGCGAUCUCCUAUACUCACCGCUGAGUCUCCAGCGAUCUCCUAUACUCACCGCUGUGUCUCCAGCGAUCUCCUAUUCUCACCGUUGUGUCUCCAGCGAUCUCCAGCGAUCUCCUAUACUCACCGCUGAGUCUCCAGCGUUCUCCUAUACUCACCGCUGAGUCUCCAGCGAUCUCCUAUACUCACCGCUGAGUCUCCAGCGAUCUCCUAUACUCACCGCUGAGUCUCCAGCGAUCUCCUAUACUCUCCUUUAAGUCUCCAGAGAUCUCCUAUACUCACCGCUGUCUCAAGCGAUCUUCUAUACUCACUGCUGAGUCUCCAGCGUUCUCCUAUACUCACCGCAGAGUCACAGGAGGAUCACAAUGCUGAAAAAGCAUUUUCAGCAACAACAUUCGGAUUUGAAAUCAAAAUAACAGAUAAAUGUUGUUUGUGUGAAAGCAAAAUGAGUCCGUGCUGCUUCUGCACCACAUACGUAAAGCACAUGGACUGCAUACGCACUGCAAACGGCGUACAGUAUGUAUGAAACAAGCAUCAGGCUGGAGGGAACACACAGCACAAACACACAAGAACACAACAAAACACCACUCAAGACCACAAAACAACACCAAUUUAAACAAAUAAGUAAAGGAAAUAUCUGAGUUUAGACUAACAGUAUCAAAUCCAAGCAGUAACAAGAAUACAAAACUAGAAACAAGACUGAUGAACAACUAAAGAAAACAUUACAAAUAUAAGCAAGACAACUGAAGAACAAAACAAAAAUGAGAAAUCAAGAGCAAAAACUAUAGCAAGGAUACACAAUCACAGCAAAUAAAAGGGCAAGACUGGAAUACAAAGCAGCAAGUCAGUAACUGUCUCUGGCACAAGAUGAACCAGCCAACACAAGAGGAAAA